UGGUAGCUCACAACCAUUUGCAACUAAAGU
Molecule: non-coding RNA, 30 nt
Filed under: Rattus norvegicus (Norway rat)
Lineage: Eukaryota; Metazoa; Chordata; Mammalia; Rodentia; Muridae
Source: RNAcentral